UGAUUACGAGCCCACCGUUGACGUGCCG
RNAcentral lists this small RNA (28 nucleotides) under Bombyx mori (domestic silkworm). RNAcentral describes it as "ovarian small RNA-32998". The record is from RNAcentral. Lineage: Eukaryota; Metazoa; Arthropoda; Insecta; Lepidoptera; Bombycidae.